CCUACGGGGUGCAGCAGUGAGGAAUAUUGGUCAAUGGACGCAAGUCUGAACCAGCCAUGCCGCGUGCAGGAAGACGGCUCUAUGAGUUGUAAACUGCUUUUGUACGAGGGUAAACGCAGAUACGCGUAUCUGUCUGACAGUAUCGUACGAAUAAGGAUCGGCUAACUCCGUUCCCGCAGCCGCGGUACUACGGAGGAUUCAAGCGUUAUCCGGAUUUAUUGGGUAUAAAGGGUGCGUAGGCGGUCGGAUAAGUUAGAGGUGAAAUCCCGAGGCUCAACUUCGGAAUUGCCUCUGAUACUGUUCGGCUAGAGAGUAGUUGCGGUAGGCGGAAGGUAUGGUGUAGCGGUGAAAUGCUUAGAGAGCAUACAGAACACCGAUUGCGAAGGCAGCUUACCAAGCUACUUCGGACGUUGAGGCACGAAAGCGUGGGGAGCAAACAGGAUUAGAUACCCGGGGAGUC
RNAcentral lists this ribosomal RNA (460 nucleotides) under uncultured bacterium. RNAcentral's name for it is "partial 16S ribosomal RNA". It matches the Rfam family "Bacterial small subunit ribosomal RNA", at positions 338 to 795 of the family's 1533-position model. The record is from RNAcentral.